UAGUGGCGGACGGGUGAGUAACGCGUGAGCAACCUGCCUUACAGAGGGGGACAACAGUUGGAAACGACUGCUAAUACCGCAUGAUAUAUAUUGAGGGCAUCCUUGAUAUAUCAAAGAUUUAUCGCUGUAAGAUGGGCUCGCGUAUGAUUAGAUAGUUGGUGAGGUAACGGCUCACCAAGUCGACGAUCAUUAGCCGGACUGAGAGGUUGAACGGCCACAUUGGGACUGAGAUACGGCCCAGACUCC
Molecule: ribosomal RNA, 246 nt
Filed under: uncultured Oscillospiraceae bacterium
Lineage: Bacteria; Bacillati; Bacillota; Clostridia; Eubacteriales; Oscillospiraceae
Description: partial 16S ribosomal RNA
Rfam family: Bacterial small subunit ribosomal RNA
Source: RNAcentral